Molecule: ribosomal RNA, 497 nt
Filed under: uncultured bacterium
Lineage: Bacteria
Description: partial 16S ribosomal RNA
Rfam family: Bacterial small subunit ribosomal RNA
Source: RNAcentral
GAUGAACGCUGGCGGCGUGCCUAAUACAUGCAAGUCGAGCGAACAGACGAGGAGCUUGCUCCUCUGACGUUAGCGGCGGACGGGUGAGUAACACGUGGAUAACCUACCUAUAAGACUGGGAUAACUUCGGGAAACCGGAGCUAAUACCGGAUAAUAUAUUGAACCGCAUGGUUCAAUAGUGAAAGACGGUUUUGCUGACACUUAUAGAUGGAUCCGCGCCGCAUUAGCUAGUUGGUAAGGUAACGGCUUACCAAGGCAACGAUGCGUAGCCGACCUGAGAGGGUGAUCGGCCACACUGGAACUGAGACACGGUCCAGACUCCUACGGGAGGCAGCAGUAGGGAAUCUUCCGCAAUGGGCGAAAGCCUGACGGAGCAACGCCGCGUGAGUGAUGAAGGUCUUCGGAUCGUAAAGCUCUGUUAUUAGGGAAGAACAACUGUGUAAGUAACUAUGCACGUCUUGACGGUACCUAAUCAGAAAGCCACGGCUAACUACGUG